Molecule: ribosomal RNA, 496 nt
Filed under: uncultured bacterium
Lineage: Bacteria
Description: partial 16S ribosomal RNA
Rfam family: Bacterial small subunit ribosomal RNA
Source: RNAcentral
GAUGAACGCUGGCGGCGUGCCUAAUACAUGCAAGUCGAGCGAACGGACGAGAAGCUUGCUUCUCUGAUGUUAGCGGCGGACGGGUGAGUAACACGUGGAUAACCUACCUAUAAGACUGGGAUAACUUCGGGAAACCGGAGCUAAUACCGGAUAAUAUUUUGAACCGCAUGGUUCAAUAGUAAAAGACGGUCUUGCUGUCACUUAUAGCUGGAUCCGCGCUGCGUUAGCUAGUUGGUAAGGUAACGGCUUACCAAGGCAACGAUGCAUAGCCGACCUGAGAGGGUGAUCGGCCACACUGGAACUGAGACACGGUCCAGACUCCUACGGGAGGCAGCAGUAGGGAAUCUUCCGAGAUGGGCGAAAGCCUGACGGAGCAACGCAGCGUGAGUGAUGAAGGUCUGCGGAUCGUAAAACUCUGUUAUUAGGGAAGAACAUAUGUGUAAGUAACUGUGCACAUCUUGACGGUACCUAAUCAGAAAGCCACGGCUAACUACGU